CUUGCUUUCCUACUAGUCUUUCUUUCAACUAAGUCUUCGCUUAUUAUCUGUUUUGGCCAAGGAGACCGGAAAAGAAAUCCAUUCUCAGGGAGCAUUUCCAGUGGCUAAAGAUGAGUGCUUCAACGGAUCAUCCGAAGAGGUUCUGCAGGGCUAGAGAGACUCCAAACACAAGAAUUGGGCAAACACUGAACUGGAUGUGGUUGCUGAAUUGUUUCUGUCCUUAUCUUGUUGAGAUGUUUUACAUCUUUCAUCAGAAAUUUCUCCACUGUCCUUGAGCUAGUGUUUUCCAAAUGCCAGUCGAUAGAGCAGUGCUGAUCUGUGACAACAUUUUCACUGAUCUGUAGUCAUAUCAAAGAAUAAAAAAAUAGGCUGGACAAAGUGGCUCAUGCCUGUAAUUCCAGCACUUUGGGAGGCCAAGACAUGCAGAUCACUUGAGGUCGGGAGUUCAAGACCAGCCUGACCAACAUGGAGAAACCCCAUCUCUACUAAAAAUACAAAAUUAGCCGGCCGUGGUGGCACGUGCCUGUAAUCUCAGCUACUCAGGAGGCUGAGACAGGAGAAUUGUUUGAACCCUGGAGGUGGAGGUUGCGGGGAGCCGAGAUUGCGCCAUUGCACUCCAGCCUGGGCAACAGGAGAGAAACUCCGUCUCAAAAAAAAAAUAAAAAUAAAAAAUAAAAAAUAAACAGAAAAAUAAAAAUUCAUAUUUCUCAAGUGAGGUUUUCAUAAAAUUAAACUCCUCAAUUUGAAGGGUUUUCUUUUAUUCUAAAAUUAUGUCCUUCUUCAUUCUGGUUUCUCUUCAGAUUGUAUAAACCUUUUGGUUUUUACUCAAAUUAUGUUCUCAUACAUUUUGAUGUUAAAAUAUCCUUAUUUUUAGUGGGAAGAUGGCAAAAAUGGAUGGUAGUUUUAAAAAUAUCUUUACUUGGCGCAAUAAAUACCUGGCAACCAUAUAUUG
This 952-nucleotide long non-coding RNA is filed under the name Homo sapiens (human). Its description in RNAcentral is "HSALNT0346942". The record is from RNAcentral. Lineage: Eukaryota; Metazoa; Chordata; Mammalia; Primates; Hominidae.